CCGCUGUCGCCCCGGAGGGGCGGCAAGGCGGGCGGCCGCGGGCCGUUUCCUUGCCUCUUCCUCUGCCCCGCUUCGGCCGCCUCCCGCCUCUCAGGGUCGGGGUUGUCUGUCCCCUUCGCUGUCACAUCCUCCGCACCCAGCGCUUGGAAGGUGCUCCAUCACGGUGACAGACAGGUGCCAAGCAGGCUGGCGUCUGGGAGGAACUUCGGAGCCGGCUCUCCCUAGGCCCCGAGCUUGGCCGCAUCCGUCCUUACUCUGGUGACCCUGGGCAGGUCACUGACUCUUCGGGCGCUUUGGCAUCCUCGUUUGAAAGGGGCUGUUAUCCUGCAGCCUUGCUGGUCGGUGAGGGUGAGGGUGAGAGGGAUCUGUGCACCUAGCACCGUGCAUGGCACGUGGUAGGCGUUUGGUACAUGGGAAUCGCUGUUGGGGUGUCACCUCCCCAGAAAGUUCUCGGCUUCAGUAAGCGCGUCCCCUGCCAGGCGCCCUGGCAAUGCAGAGGAGUCACCGAGCUCCGCCUUUGACCAGCGUGCAGCUGGGAGAGUGAGAUCAGAGACCACAGCAGAUCGUGGCGCUGUGAUCAGGGGGUACACUCAAGCUGUGGGUCCCUUACCCCAGCCUUGAGAUCCCAGGAAGGCCUGCAGCCUGAAACGGGCCUUGAAAGGUGCGUAGUUUCUCUGAAAAGCAUCACCCAGGUCAGAAUGAAAGGAAACUCUCUGUGCAGACCGCUGUAUGUGGGACCUUUGAAGACAGUCAAAUAGUGUUCAAUUCUAUAGGGAUCUUCUCUGGAUCAAGCAAUGGUGGUGAAAAAUGUUUCGCAAGGGCAAAAAACGACACAGUAGUAGCAGUUCCCAAAGUAGCGAAAUCAGUACUAAGAGCAAGUCUGUGGAUUCUAGCCUUGGGGGUCUUUCACGAUCCAGCACUGUGGCCAGCCUCGACACAGAUUCCACCAAAAGCUCAGGACAAAGCAACAAUAAUUCAGAUACCUGUGCAGAAUUUCGAAUAAAAUAUGUUGGUGCCAUUGAGAAACUGAAACUCUCCGAGGGAAAAGGCCUUGAAGGGCCAUUAGACCUGAUAAAUUAUAUAGACGUUGCCCAGAUGGAAAGUUGCCUUUUGUUCCUCCGGAGGAAGAAUUUAUUAUGGGAGUUUCCAAGUAUGGCAUAAAAGUAUCAACAUCAGAUCAAUAUGAUGUUUUGCACAGGCAUGCUCUCUACUUAAUAAUCCGGAUGGUGUGUUACGAUGACGGUCUGGGGGCGGGAAAAAGCUUACUGGCUCUGAAGACCACAGAUGCAAGCAAUGAGGAAUACAGCCUGUGGGUUUAUCAGUGCAACAGCCUGGAACAAGCACAAGCCAUUUGCAAGGUUUUAUCCACCGCUUUUGACUCUGUAUUAACAUCUGAGAAACCCUGAAUCCUGCAAUCAAGUAGAAGUCAACUUCAUCUGAAAGUUCAGCUGUUUUCAAACUGCAAUGCUGAAAUGUUAUGCAAAUAAUGAAGUUAUCCCUUGCUCUAGAUUUUCUGAAGAAAAUGGAUUGUGUAAAAUGCUGAUCAUUUGUUUAUUAAAAUGUGUCCUAUUACACAG
Molecule: long non-coding RNA, 1577 nt
Filed under: Homo sapiens (human)
Lineage: Eukaryota; Metazoa; Chordata; Mammalia; Primates; Hominidae
Description: long non-coding RNA NONHSAT184193.1
Source: RNAcentral